CCAUCUCUCUGCAGGUGCGGAACCAAAAACCCCACAAACAAAAAUUGAAUGGGAUGAUGGAAAUUAGAAAUUUUUGACAUUAAAUCUCAGUGACUCGCAGACAUUAAUAAUAGUAGAACAGCCCAUGUCUUGCAUUAUUAGAGACGGCGAUGAUGGCGAUAACAUGCAAUGCAAGUACACUAACAAACUUUAAAAACAUUAACU
This 204-nucleotide unclassified non-coding RNA is filed under the name Hevea brasiliensis (rubber tree). The record is from RNAcentral. Lineage: Eukaryota; Viridiplantae; Streptophyta; Magnoliopsida; Malpighiales; Euphorbiaceae.